RNAcentral lists this long non-coding RNA (783 nucleotides) under Cavia porcellus (domestic guinea pig). Its description in RNAcentral is "lncRNA (ENSCPOG00000036540.1)". The record is from RNAcentral. Lineage: Eukaryota; Metazoa; Chordata; Mammalia; Rodentia; Caviidae.
GCCGCCCUCGCAGCCGCCCGGGCUCGCAGCAAUCCGGGGCUGGAGCCGGGGCGUGCCGCGCGGGCUCCAGUUUCGCCGGCCCCGGUGCUAUUUAAAGGUGUCAGGUGGCUCGGCGGAGACUCCUGGCCCCGGCUCCUGGCGGCCCCAGUUGGAAGAGCCGAGGCAAGGGCGCCGAUCCCGGACUGCGAGGGGAGGCGGAGAGACGGGGCAGUUGACUAUUGCUAACAAGUUAGCCUUGAUCGAGGAGUAAUCAAUUAUCUGCAGCGGCACUUCUGGCUUUCUCUCUGCCUUCUCCAGUGUUUCGCCGCUCUCUUCUUUCUGUUCUCUCCCGUCCUCUCCCUCUCCACCCUCCCUCCCCUCCUGUCCUCUUCUCUGCUUUGCUCUCCUCUCCGCUCCACUCCCCCCGUCUCUCCCUUUCUCUACCUCUCCCUCGCCCUCUUUCCCUCUCUGCCUGUCCAAUGCAAGCGGCUCUAAGUUGGGAAGCUCAUUAAUUAGCGGGCCGGGGGUAGGAGGAGCCGGCUGGAAUUAGCCUUCCUAACGCGCCUGUCAGUCCGGGCGGUGCCGCGCCGGGCGAGCUGUUUGUAAAUGACAUUAACCGCGCCUUUAUUGUACUCCAACCUCGGGCGGCCGAAAGCCACCGCCCCCAACCCAAACAAGAGCCGCCUUCCCGGCGACCCGCCUCCCGCCGAGGCCCGGACUCCGCACCCGGGAUUUGGCGUCCAAGGGGUGGCGGGAGCCCGCCGGGAGGGACGCGGCUGCGGCGCGGGCCAGCCAGGGGUCUGA